GACGGGGCCGCACAAGCGGUGGAGCAUGUGGUUAAUUCGACGCAACGCGAAGAACCUUACCAGGGCUUGACAUCCCCUGACCGCGUAUGAAAGUACGUUUUCACCUCGGGUGACAGGGAGACAGGUGGUGCAUGGUUGUCGUCAGCUCGUGUCGUGAGAUGUUGGGUUAAGUCCCGCAACGAGCGCAACCCCUACGUUUAGUUGCUAACGCGUGAAGGCGAGCACUCUAGACGAACUGCCGUUGACAAAACGGAGGAAGGUGGGAUGACGUCAAAUCAUCAUGCCCCUUAUGUUCUGGGCUACACACGUGCUACAAUGGCCGGUACAGACGGACGCAAAGCCGCGAGGUGGAGCAAAUCCUAAAAAGCCGGUCUCAGUUCGGAUUGCAGGCUGCAAUUCGCCUGCAUGAAGUCGGAAUCGCUAGUAAUCGCAGGUCAGCAUACUCGCGGUCGAAUACGUUCCGGGCCUU
This 469-nucleotide ribosomal RNA is filed under the name uncultured Pelotomaculum sp. Its description in RNAcentral is "bacterial SSU rRNA". It matches the Rfam family "Bacterial small subunit ribosomal RNA", at positions 917 to 1381 of the family's 1533-position model. The record is from RNAcentral. Lineage: Bacteria; Bacillati; Bacillota; Clostridia; Eubacteriales; Desulfotomaculaceae.